CCUACGGGUGGCAGCAGUGAGGAAUAUUGGUCAAUGGACGAGAGUCUGAACCAGCCAAGUAGCGUGAAGGAUGACUGCCCUAUGGGUUGUAAACUUCUUUUAUAUGGGAAUAAAAUGUUCCACGUGUGGGAUUUUGUAUGUACCAUAUGAAUAAGGAUCGGCUAACUCCGUGCCAGCAGCCGCGGUAAUACGGAGGAUCCGAGCGUUAUCCGAAUUUAUUGGGUUUAAAGGGAGCGUAGGUGGAUUGUUAAGUCAGUUGUGAAAGUUUGCGGCUCAACCGUAAAAUUGCAGUUGAAACUGGCAGUCUUGAGUACAGUAGAGGUGGGCGGAAUUCGUGGUGUAGCGGUGAAAUGCUUAGAUAUCACGAAGAACUCCGAUUGCGAAGGCAGUUCACUGGACUGCAACUGACACUGAGGCUCGAAAGUGUGGGUAUCAAACAGGAUUAGAUACCCUAGUAGUC
RNAcentral lists this ribosomal RNA (460 nucleotides) under uncultured bacterium. Its description in RNAcentral is "partial 16S ribosomal RNA". It matches the Rfam family "Bacterial small subunit ribosomal RNA", at positions 338 to 795 of the family's 1533-position model. The record is from RNAcentral.